RNAcentral lists this ribosomal RNA (484 nucleotides) under uncultured bacterium. RNAcentral's name for it is "partial 16S ribosomal RNA". It matches the Rfam family "Bacterial small subunit ribosomal RNA", at positions 30 to 507 of the family's 1533-position model. The record is from RNAcentral.
AUUGAACGCUGGCGGCAGGCCUAACACAUGCAAGUCGAGCGGAUGAAGGGAGCUUGCUCCUGGAUUCAGCGGCGGACGGGUGAGUAAUGCCUAGGAAUCUGCCUGGUAGUGGGGGAUAACGUCCGGAAACGGGCGCUAAUACCGCAUACGUCCUGAGGGAGAAAGUGGGGGAUCUUCGGACCUCACGCUAUCAGAUGAGCCUAGGUCGGAUUAGCUAGUUGGUGGGGUAAAGGCCUACCAAGGCGACGAUCCGUAACUGGUCUGAGAGGAUGAUCAGUCACACUGGAACUGAGACACGGUCCAGACACCUAAGGGAGGCAGCAGUGGGGAAUAUUGGACAAUGGGGGAAAGCCUGAUCCAGCCAUGCGGCGUGUGUGAAGAAGGUCUUCGGAUUGUAAAGCACUUUAAGUUGGGAGGAAGGGAAGUAAGUUAAUACCUAGCUGUAUUGACGUUACCAACAGAAUAAGCACCGGCUAACUUCGUG